This 5239-nucleotide long non-coding RNA is filed under the name Solanum tuberosum (potato). Its description in RNAcentral is "long non-coding RNA (STUB_LNC003075)". Lineage: Eukaryota; Viridiplantae; Streptophyta; Magnoliopsida; Solanales; Solanaceae. The record is from RNAcentral.
UUUAAUUUAUCAACUAAUAACCUGAACAAGAUGCAUUUGGAUCUGUUGGGAUGCAUCCACUGACACAACUGGCAAUGUUGCAGGCAUUGCUGAGAACGAUAAUCUGAAUCCUUCAAUAACGGACACCUUGAAUGAUAUUCAUAGAGUGAACUAUAUGCAUAGCUACUUAAAUUCAUUGGCAAAUGCAAUCACGGAUGGUGCAGAUGUGAGGGGGUACUUUGUUUGGUCCCUUCUCGACAACUUUGAGUGGCUAGAUGGAUAUAAGCUAAGAUUUGGACUUCACUAUGUCAACUAUACUAAUCUUCAGAGAAUACCAAAAUUAUCAGCUACCAUGUAUAAACAACUCAUGUAUAACUUCAACAUACAGCUUGAAACAAAUACUGCCCAGAACUAGUGGGAGAAGAUGAUGAAAAUCGGAGGUUUGUAAAGAUUAUUUUCAUUGCAAUGGAACUGUAAUCAUGUAAACAAGAUCUAUUAAUUAAAUAAAUAGAAAUAUUCUGUUGAAAGUUGUGUUGGAAGAGGUUAUGUCAUACUUGAAUGAUAGUCUUUAUCGACUAUAACUUGUUGGCGUAGAGACCCAAGCUAACUAGGAUCUACAACAACUCGAUUAUUGGAAUGUCCAAACUCGAGAAUGAGGUUCAAGAGAGAGCAACCAUUUCAAUCUUGCGGAUUAUAUUUUGUACUUUGUUAAAUGGUGCAGUUAUAGAAUUGACAGUUGGUAGAUUUUCAGAUGGGUAUAUUUCUAAUUUUUAUUUAUCGUAAAUUAACAGAUUUGUCGACAUUAGUACAACCAACUACAUUAGCUUGAUAUAUCAUGAAAUAAACAAUAACUAUAAGACAAAAAACAAAAUCAUCCAAGAUUCUUAUAUGAGGAACCCACAAAAUUAAGUUAUCGAAUAUAAAUAUUUCAAUAACACCAUAUUAAAGUAACAAGAAAGCGUUGAAAAGUAUAAGGGAUCAAUAAUUCAAUUAUUUCCACUUCUUUUCAUCUUUCACAGUUGCAACACACAAAAGUUUUGAGUGCUGAUUUUUUUGGUUGAAUUCCGAAUGAACCAAAAGAAGACAACUGCAACACAUUAAAAAAUGGCCCCUUUCUCAGCUUACAAAACCUUAUUGUCCUAUUUGAUUGAUGACUCAAAGGUGACAAAGCAUAAAAUUAUAUUUAGUCACUAGCGUUGUAAAAAUUCGAAGCAAAAGGCUUCCAACAACACAAAGCUUGAUAAACCAUACACACCAACAAUGAUGAAUUUUAGAUUUAUAGUAAAUGACCAAAAUGAACACAUUUUGUCAUACAUUAAAGACUAUAUCAAUUAAGUGAAAUAUAUUAAGGAUCAAAAUGAACAUAUUUGUUAUAAUCAUUUUAAUAAAGUGAAAUACAUUAAAGACCAAGAUAAAGAAUUACCCAUAUAUUAACGACCAUUUUGGUCAUUUUUGUUGGGUAUUAUUUGCCUCGAUAGGUUUUCCUUUUUCUAAAAGGGAAAACAUUAAGUCUUCAUAUUUGACUAGUCUUUUUCUUGUAAGAAAAGAUUUAAGAUUAGCUAGUCCUUUUCUUGUAGAAAAAGGUUUAGGAAUCUGAGGUUUGUUCUUUCUAACUUAAUCAACUUUCACAAUGUAGUCCUUAGGAAUUUUGAAAAUUUUGGUUAGGGUGAGAAUUUGUGGAACACAAUUGAUAACAAGUGAUAUGUUAUCACUUGUGUGAACCUCCUUGUAUUUCGAUCGAACCACGUUAAAUCUUUGUGUCUUUUGAUUUCUCAUUUGUUUUUUUACUUGUAGUCUUUCGAGGUUUGCUUCGUUUGUCUUCUUACUUGUGGUCUCUUGAGGUUUGCUUUGCUAGCUUCCGCAUGACAUUUAAUUAUUUCGGUCCUAACAAUUUUCUCAUGUUCUUUAUGUCUUUUUCCCAGGAGCUUAAAAAAGAAACAUCAAGAACCACUUCUCUCUGAGUUUUCCACUUUCACUUAACAAAUCAAAGCUGUAUGCUUCCUGCAAUGUUUUAUCACAUAUCAAUUUGCAUGUUGUUUUGUGGUUUCAAUUUCAUAGUAUCAUCAUGUCAUCAAAUAGACAACCUUAAUAUUCUCAAAGAAAAUGCUAACCAAGUUACAUCUUCAAGCAAUUUCUUGUUUGGAACAGCCUCUUCUUGUUACCAGGUACUUCCUACACUUGUUUUCUUUUUUGGGGCUGGAUUGUUGUUCUGAGUACAACUUUUUUCUUGUUUUCUCCGCAGUUUGAAGGAGCAUUUCUCAGUGAUGGAAAAGGUCUCAACAAUUGGGACGUUUUUACUCAUGAAGCUGGUCAGCUUCUAAAAUUAAUGAAUGUCAAUUUCUUUUAGUCCAUUUUUUUAUUAAUUUUGGUUACUGUUGUUGCAGGUCAUAUCAAGGAUGGAAGCAAUGGAGAUGUUGCUGUUGAUCACUACAAUCGUUAUUUGGUAAACCUAGCUAAUUGAUCAUUUGAGUUUGACUUCUUUCUAUUUUCUUUUAUAUAUAUGUAAUUUCUGCAAAAAAAAAAGAGUAUGUUUUUAUCCUGCUGAGAUGGGAUCAUCUAUAGUGAGGCACAUUGAGAUUAUUUAGAUGGUUACUGAUAAAUUUGUUUUUUUGGCCUACAGAAAAUCAACAAUAAACUGAAUAUUUUAACACAAUACUGAUAAAUUAGAUAGGAAGUAGUUAUGCUUGAACUUUUUGAGAUCAGAAUUAACUUUUCCAUGCAACAUCAUUCAUGAAGAAAAGGGAAACACCCUAAUUUGUGCUUGCAAGAGAGCAUACAUGUUUGACACAAAAGGGAAACAGUUAGAUCUAAAACUCACAUUGGUGUUAGCUUGUGUCAAAGCUGAUCAACAAAUAAGGAACUUGCAAAAUGGCAAAACUGGGGAACACAAAUUUGGUUUCUGCAACAAGUCAUAAGCGUCUCAGAAGAGUUUAUGAAUGAAUGUUAGAUCAACAUAUAUAGUGUAUUAGCAAGAAAAUAGACUCACUCGUAAAGCAUGAAUAUGAAGAAUUCUGAAUUUCUGAUGUUUGGUAAUAAAAUGAAAACAGGAGGACGUCAAGCUCAUGGAAGACAUGGGUGUGAAUAGCUAUCGUUUCUCCAUAUCAUGGGCAAGAAUUCUUCCCAGUAAGUUAUAACUGUCACUACUCUCUUCCCUUCAUUUUCAGCAAAUACUUCUUGUUGUCUUUUCGAUAGAUCAAUCUUUUUCUUUCUCGGGUUUAAAUUUGACUCAGAGGGGACAUUUGGAGAUGUUAACAUGGCUGGAAUUGAGCACUAUAAUAAGCUUAUUGAUGCACUCCUACAGAAAGGUCGGUUCUGCUUCACUUGCUAACAGUUUUAAGUUAUCGAUAUAUCCAAAAUAAAGAAAAUAAGAAAAAAUUUGGGCUCAGACGACUUCUUUAUGUUCUGUGAAUUCAGGGAUCCAACCGUUUAUCACAUUAACACAUUAUGACAUACCACAAGAACUUGAGGAAAGAUAUGGUGGUUGGCUAAGUUCACGAAUACAGUAAGUAGCUGGUCUCAUUUUACACUUUAAGGUAGUUGUAGAUUCCAUCAAAUGCUGUGACGAUGAACAAGUUAAUUUGUCUUGUGUUACAGGGAUGAUUUCAGCUAUUAUGCGGACAUAUGCUUCAAAUAUUUUGGGGACAGAGUUAAAUACUGGACAACUAUCAAUGAGCCUCAUGUCAUGGCUGUAUAUGGCUAUAGACUAGGAUCUUACCCUCCAGCUCGAUGCUCCGGUAUAUUUGGGAACUGUAGUGCUGGUGAUUCAGAAAGGGAGCCCUUCAUUGCAGCGCACAAUAUGAUCCUAUCUCAUGCAGCUGCUGUCAGAAUUUACCGUACCAAACAUCAGGUUCGUUCAAUGGCUCUAGACGGCAUGAUCUUGCAGAAUUAGUCCAAAUGGAUUACCCCUUUAGUGCAACGCUACUUUCUGGCUUGUAAAUGACAUGAAGUGAAUUUUGUUGUUAGUAAAACAGGAAAAUUGAUACUUAGAAGACUAGAGCUCGAGAAUUUAUGCUUGGAAACUAAUUCCUCCUCUAUCUAUUAAAUGGUAUAUUGUAAAAGUUCAUUAAAAGACCAUACAAUUAGUAUCAGUAACUAUUUUAUGCUGGUUUUCAGAAAAGACAAGGAGGCAUGGUUGGAAUUGCUUUGGAUAUCCAAUGGUAUGAACCAUUUAGCAAUUCCUCAGAAGACAUAGCUGCAACUGAGAGAGCUCGGUCAUUCUACUUCAACUGGUAAUCUUUCCUUAUCAGUAGUUCAAUGCUAUAAUCUGGUUUCUUGUGCAUCAGAAAGAGAGGGAAAAAAUGUUAUUUUUUUACUAUGCAGGUUUUUAGACCCUAUUAUAUUAGGAAGAUAUCCCAAAGAAAUGGUACAAAUUCUGGGAUCUAAUCUGCCAAACUUUUCAAAGAAUGAUUUGAGCAAGCUGAGUUAUGGCUUAGAUUUCAUUGGCAUCAAUUACUAUACGGCUAACUAUAUCAAAGAUUGCUUAUAUGCUGCCUGUGAACAUGGAAACACUUGGUCAGAGGGUUCCUAUUAUGUUACUACAGAAAAAGACGGUGUCUACAUUGGCCAACCUGUAUGUUUUCUCAUCUUUUAACCCACUCUGUCAAACCAUUGCUAUAUUUUUAUUUCCCCCCCCCCAACUUUAAAUGAAUCAGACAGGUGCGCCAUGGAUCUUUCUGUACCCACAAGGGAUGAAAAAAAUUGUGAUGUACAUGAGGGACAGAUUCAAUAAUACUCCAGUGGCUAUCACCGAAAAUGGUAAGAAUUUCACAUUCUGUCAUUUAGAAGCGCAGUUUAUCAAUUAAUAACUUGAACGAGAUGCAUUUGACACAAUUGGCUAUGUUGCAGGUGUUGCUGAGAACGAUGAUCUGAAUACUUCAAUAACAGACACCUUGAACGAUAUUCAUAGAGUGAACUAUAUGCAUAGCUACUUAAAUUCACUGUCAAAUGCAAUUAGGGAAGGUGCAGACGUGAGGGGGUACUUUGUUUGGUCCCUUCUCGACAACUUUGAGUGGCUACAUGGAUAUAGGCUAAGAUUUGGACUUCACUAUGUCAACUAUACUAAUCUUCAGAGAAUACCAAAAUUAUCAGCUACCAUGUAUAAACAACUAAUGUAUAACUUCAACAUACAGCUUGAAACACAUACUGCCCAUAACUAGUGGGAGAAGAUGAUGAAAAGCGGAGGUUUGUAAAGAUUAUUUUCAUUUCGGUGUCUUGUUGUUGGAAGACAGUUUAUUUGGUAAUGAAACAAAUAAGUGUUCAG